UGGGGGGGAGGGGGGGGGGCUAACCUAGCUGUCAGUGACCAAGAGCAUGAGCAGCGUGUCGUAGUGAAGCAGUGGGUCCAGCGUGUCGUAGUGAAACAGUGGGUCCAGCGUGUCGUAGUGAAGCAGUGGGUCCAGCGUGUCGUAGUGAAGCAGUGGGUCCAGCGUGUCGUAGUGACGCAGUGGGUCCAGCGUGUCGUAGUGAAGCAGUGGGUCCAGAGCAGUGAGGUCUUGCUGAUCACAGACUGAGGCGCAUUUUUCACAACAUGGUAAUAACAUCCACUGUAGGUGUGGUUUCAUGCACAGUGCCGGGGGGUGCCGGGGAGUACAGGAAAAUUAGGAUUUGCUUUCAGAAACGGUGUGCUUUAUUACGAAACAGCCCGGAACGCUCCCCCCGCCCCGUCAUCGUGGCUUAUUAGCGUGGAACAGAUAAAUGUCAGAGCCGUUUAAAAUGUCCUCUAUGCGUGAUUCGAGACGCUCAGCGGGACGCCGAGGGCCACCGCAGUGAAAGGGGGGUCCCCCCCACGCACGCCAACCCGCCUGGAGUGGAAUGGGAAGCACACGGCCGCUUCCACGGGCCCCCGGGAGAUUAUCUGCCCGCUAAAUCCCUUCACGGUGACUCCCCUGUCUGCUGUUUGUCCUGCUAGACUGAUGCCCAGAGGAUGUUAGUUCAGCUUAAAAGCAGUAGCUGUGUGUCUGCAGUGGUAGAGAUAAGAGGUCUUCCUUGAAGGAGGCCUGCCAGUAAUCUAAGCCGAGUGUGUGCCUGCGUGUGUUCGUGUGCCCCCUGGAAAUUUCUCCCCCUCACUCUUGAAUGCAGCACAGGCACCGUCUCCCCUGAGUGCAACGACCCCCC
Brienomyrus brachyistius is the source of this 850-nucleotide long non-coding RNA. RefSeq lists it as uncharacterized. The transcript has 3 exons. Lineage: Eukaryota; Metazoa; Chordata; Actinopteri; Osteoglossiformes; Mormyridae. The record is from RefSeq and is a predicted model, not a curated record.